AGUGAACGCUGGCGGUAGGCCUAACACAUGCAAGUCGAACGGCAGCACAGUAAGAGCUUGCUCUUACGGGUGGCGAGUGGCGGACGGGUGAGGAAUACAUCGGAAUCUACUUUUUCGUGGGGGAUAACGUAGGGAAACUUACGCUAAUACCGCAUACGACCUACGGGUGAAAGCAGGGGAUCUUCGGACCUUGCGCGAUUGAAUGAGCCGAUGUCGGAUUAGCUAGUUGGCGGGGUAAAGGCCCACCAAGGCGACGAUCCGUAGCUGGUCUGAGAGGAUAAUCAGCCACACUGGAACUGAGACACGGUCCAGACUCCUACGGGAGGCAGCAGUGGGGAAUAUUGGACAAUGGGCGUAAGCCUGAUCCAGCCAUACCGCGUGGGUGAAGAAGGCCUUCGGGUUGUAAAGCCCUUUUGUUGGGAAAGAAAAGCAGCAGGUUAAUACCCCGCUGUUCUGACGGUACCCAAAGAAUAAGCACCGGCUAACUUCGUG
RNAcentral lists this ribosomal RNA (492 nucleotides) under uncultured bacterium. Its description in RNAcentral is "partial 16S ribosomal RNA". It matches the Rfam family "Bacterial small subunit ribosomal RNA", at positions 29 to 507 of the family's 1533-position model. The record is from RNAcentral.